AGAUUGAACGCUGGCGGCAGGCCUAACACAUGCAAGUCGAGCGCGAAAGUUCCUUCGGGAAUGAGUAGAGCGGCGGACGGGUGAGUAACGCGUAGGAAUUUGCCCAGUAGUGGGGGGACAACUCGGGGGAAACUCGAGCUAAUACCGCAUACGCCCCAAGGGGGAAAGCAGGGGAUCUUCGGACCUUGCGCUAUUGGAUAAGCCUGCGUCGGAUUAGCUAGUUGGUGGGGUAAGGCCUACCAAGGCAACGAUCCGUAGCUGGUCUGAGAGGAUGAUCAGCCACACUGGGACUGAGACACGGCCCAGACUCCUACGGGAGGCAGCAGUGGGAAUAGUGGACGAAGUGGGGGACAACCCGUGACUCCAGCCAUGGCCGCGUGUGUGAGAAGCUUAGGGUUGUAAGCACUUCGAGUAGGGAGAAAGCGUGG
RNAcentral lists this ribosomal RNA (428 nucleotides) under uncultured soil bacterium. Its description in RNAcentral is "bacterial SSU rRNA". It matches the Rfam family "Bacterial small subunit ribosomal RNA", at positions 26 to 455 of the family's 1533-position model. The record is from RNAcentral.